Molecule: ribosomal RNA, 710 nt
Filed under: uncultured bacterium
Lineage: Bacteria
Description: bacterial SSU rRNA
Rfam family: Bacterial small subunit ribosomal RNA
Source: RNAcentral
AGCGGCGGACGGGUGAGUAACGCGUGGGUAACCUGCCCUGUACACACGGAUAACAUACCGAAAGGUAUGCUAAUACGAGAUAAUAUACUUUUAUCGCAUGGUAGAAGUAUCAAAGCUUUUGCGGUACAGGAUGGACCCGCGUCUGAUUAGCUAGUUGGUAAGGUAACGGCUUACCAAGGCGACGAUUAGUAGCCGACCUGAGAGGGUGAUCGGCCACAUUGGAACUGAGACACGGUCCAAACUCCUACGGGAGGCAGCAGUGGGGAAUAUUGCACAAUGGGCGAAAGCCUGAUGCAGCAACGCCGCGUGAGCGAUGUAGGCCUUCGGGUCGUAAAGCUCUGUCCUCAAGGAAGAUAAUGACGGUACUUGAGGAGGAAGCCCCGGUUAACCACGUGCCAGCAGCCGCGGUAAUACGUAGGGGGCUAGCGUUAUCCGGAAUUACUGGGCGUAAAGGGUGCGUAGGUGGUUUCUUAAGUCAGAGGUGAAAGGCUACGGCUCAACCGUAGUAAGCCUUUGAAACUGGGAAACUUGAGUGCAGGAGAGGAGAGUGGAAUUCCUAGUGUAGCGGUGAAAUGCGUAGAUAUUAGGAGGAACACCAGUUGCGAAGGCGGCUCUCUGGACUGUAACUGACACUGAGGCACGAAAGCGUGGGGAGCAAACAGGAUUAGAUACCCUGGUAGUCCACGCCGUAAACGAUGAGUACUAGCUGC